AGAGAUCGGAAGUGAGAAUGUUGACAUGAGUAGCGAUAAACAGGGUGAGAGACCCUGUCGCCGAAAGUCCAAGGGUUCCUGCUUAAAGUUAAUCUGAGCAGGGUAAGCCGACCCCUAAGGCGAGGCCGAAAGGCGUAGUCGAUGGGAACCAGGUUAAUAUUCCUGGGCCAGGAGNNUGUGACGGAUCACGAGUGUAGUAAGNUCUUAUUGGAUUGAUNUUGCUGCUNAGUGGUUCCUGGAAAUAGCCCUCCAUUAAGAUCGUACCCUAAACCGACACAGGUGGACAGGUAGAGNAUACCAAGGCGCUUGAGAGAACUGUAUUGAAGGAACUCGGCAAAAUACCUCCGUAAGUUCGCGAGAAGGAGGCCCUAUGUUUAGGCAACUAGAUGUAGGGGGCACAACCCAGGGGGUGGCGACUGUUUACUAAAAACACAGGGCUCUGCGAAGCCGCAAGGCGAUGUAUAGGGUCUGACGCCUGCCCGGUGCCGGAAGGUUAAGAGGAGGUGUGCAAGCACCGAAUUGAAGCCCCGGUAAACGGCGGCCGUAACAAUAACGGUCCUAAGGUAGCGAAAUUCCUUGUCGGGUAAGUUCCGACCUGCACGAAUGGCGUAACGAUCCGGGCGCUGUCUCAACGUGGUUCUCAGUGAAAUUGAAAUAGCGGUGAAGAUACCGUUAACCCGCAGCAAGACGGAAAGACCCCGUGAACCUUUACUGCAGCUUGGCAGUGGAUUCGGGAAGAGCUUGUGUAGGAUAGGUGGGAGGCUUAGAAGUCGGUGCGCCAGCGCCGGUGGAGCCGUCCUUGAAAUACCACCCUGGUUUUUUCGGAAUUCUAACCUCGUCCCGUGAUCCGGGACAGGGACCCUGCCUGGUGGGCGGUUUGACUGGGGCGGUCGCCUCCCAAAGCGUAACGGAGGCGCGCAAUGGUUCCCUCAGAGUGAUUGGAAACCACUCGUAGAGUGCAAAGGCAUAAGGGAGCCUGACUGCGAGAGAGACAUCUCAAGCAGGGACGAAAGUCGGUCUUAGUGAUCCGGUGGUUCCUUGAGGAAGGGCCAUCGCUCAACGGAUAAAAGGUACUCCGGGGAUAACAGGCUAAUCGCGCCCAAGAGUUCACAUCGACGGCGCGGUUUGGCACCUCGAUGUCGGCUCAUCGCAUCCUGGGGCUGAAGCAGGUCCCAAGGGUAUGGCUGUUCGCCAUUUAAAGCGGUACGCGAGCUGGGUUCAGAACGUCGUGAGACAGUUCGGUCCCUAUCUGCUGUGGGCGCAGGAGAUCUGAAGGAAUCUGCUCUUAGUACGAGAGGACCGGAGUGGACGAACCUCUGGUGAUCCGGUUGUUCCGCCAGGAGCACCGCCGGGUAGCUAUGUUCGGCAGGGAUAACCGCUGAAAGCAUCUAAGCGGGAAGCCCCUCCUGAGAGCGAUCUCCCGGACUUAAUGUCCCUGAAGGUCACAGGUAGACCACCUGUUUGAUAGGCCGGGGGUG
Molecule: ribosomal RNA, 1478 nt
Filed under: metagenome
Description: bacterial LSU rRNA
Rfam family: Bacterial large subunit ribosomal RNA
Source: RNAcentral